Molecule: ribosomal RNA, 508 nt
Filed under: uncultured bacterium
Lineage: Bacteria
Description: partial 16S ribosomal RNA
Rfam family: Bacterial small subunit ribosomal RNA
Source: RNAcentral
GAUGAACGCUAGCGGCAGGCUUAAUACAUGCAAGUCGAGGGGCAGCAGGUCCCGCAGCAAUGCGGGAUGCUGGCGACCGGCAAACGGGUGCGGAACACGUACAGAACCUUCCUUUAAGUGGGGAAUGGCCCGGGGAAACCCGGAUUAAUACCCCGUAACAUAAUGAAGUGGCAUCACUUUAUUAUUAUAGCAGCAAUGCGCUUGAAGAUGGCUGUGCGGCUGAUUAGGUAGUUGGCGGGGUAAUGGCCCACCAAGCCUACGAUCAGUAACUGGUGUGAGAGCACGACCAGUCACACGGGCACUGAGACACGGGCCCGACUCCUACGGGAGGCAGCAGUAAGGAAUAUUGGGCAAUGGACGCAAGUCUGACCCAGCCAUGCCGCGUGGAGGAUGAAGGUCCUCUGGAUUGUAAACUUCUUUUAUCUGGGAAGAAAUCUAUUUUUUCUAAAGUAGUUGACGGUACCAGAUGAAUAAGCACCGGCUAACUCCGUGCCAGCCGCCGCAGUAA